This 305-nucleotide ribosomal RNA is filed under the name uncultured bacterium. Its description in RNAcentral is "bacterial SSU rRNA". It matches the Rfam family "Bacterial small subunit ribosomal RNA", at positions 334 to 636 of the family's 1533-position model. The record is from RNAcentral.
AGGUCCUACGGGGCGCAGCAGUGAGGAAUAUUGGUCAAUGGGCGGGAGCCUGAACCAGCCAAGUCGCGUGAGGGAAGACGGUCCUAUGGAUUGUAAACCUCUUUUGUCGGGGAGCAAAGAGGCCACGUGUGGUCAAAAGCGAGAGUACCCGAAGAAAAAGCAUCGGCUAACUCCGUGCCAGCAGCCGCGGUAAUACGGAGGAUGCGAGCGUUAUCCGGAUUUAUUGGGUUUAAAGGGUGCGCAGGAGGGAGAUCAAGUCAGCGGUAAAAUGUCGGGGCUCAACCCCGGCCGGCCGUUGAAACUGG